RNAcentral lists this long non-coding RNA (5502 nucleotides) under Brassica napus (rape). RNAcentral describes it as "long non-coding RNA (BNAP_LNC017844)". The record is from RNAcentral. Lineage: Eukaryota; Viridiplantae; Streptophyta; Magnoliopsida; Brassicales; Brassicaceae.
UGGAUUCACCAGAACCUCUCACGCCACCAAGAUAAUGAAACCCAGAAGUUAAGAACACCAAGAACACUCAAGAACACUCAAGAUUUUUAAGAAAAAGGAAUCACACUCUCCCACUUUGCGCAACCUGGCUCUGAUACCAUAUACACUUUUGUGUAUUAGAGCAUGAUUCAACUAAUCAGGGAUAAUCAGAUGAAAAGAUUAAAGAGAUUAAGAGAUUUUAGUGAGAGAAUAGAGAGAGAGACUCAAAACUCCAUUAGAUUGAUUAAUGAGAGAGUUUACAACACAUAUAGAUUAGGGAUACAUAAUUUCGUCCAGGUUCAGUCUAGCUAGGAUAAGAAGCAUGUGUAGUCAAAGAUGCUUGAUUCAAACUGGCCAAUAAGGUUCCUCACAUGCUUGGGUAGCUUUCCAGCUGGUGCCAGCCUGUCUAAAGCUCUCUAGCCUUGACCAGACCUUAUCCAAACUCCUCCUUGCUUAUCCAGACUCCUCCUGGCGUGUUUCACUCUCCAAAUGGAUGCAAGGUAACUUCCCAAGUCUUUUAACUCAGUUACCACAGUAACAAUAAAGUUACUGUGGUAAAUCUCCAAAGUUACUGCCUGCUCCAAAUCCCUUCCUCUAUCCAUGUAUCAACUCUUCAUCUCCUCAUCUCAAUAAAAUCCCUUCCUCUAUCCAUGUAUCAACUCUUCAUCUCUUCAUCUCAAUACUCCCCCUCAAGCUUGACCAUGUGGAACAAGUCAAGCUUGGAAACCAUGAAGACCUCCCUCAUUAAAAACCUCACCAAAGAAAACCCAUUGGGAUAAAACUUUGAUGAGGGAAAAAGAGUGGAGACUCCAUGGUUAAGGGGCUCAGCUCCUGGGAGUAAGAUCAAUGAGUCCAAGCCUGGAUAGUAUGGACUCCAUUGUCUUCAAUCUCGCUGCCUUAGUAAACACAUCUGCAAGCUGAUCUUCACUUCUUGUAUAACAUGGCAGAAUCACUCCUAAGAUAAUCAUCUGCCUCACCUUAUGGCAAUCCACCUCUAUGUGCUUUGUUCUCUCAUGAAACACUGAGUUGGAGGCAAUGUGGAUAGCUGCUUGAUUGUCACAAUGCAUUGUCAUAGGUGUGGCCUGCUCGAUCUCCAAGUGCUUCAAAAUACCCUUGAUCCACACCAACUCAUUUGUAAGCUUCAACAUAGCUCUAUACUCAGCUUCAGCACUUGAACAGGAGAUGACCUUCUGUUUCUUACUCUUCCAAGUAACCAGAUUCCCUCCAAUGAAUGUACAAUACCCAGUAGUUGAUCUCCUGUCCACUCUAUCUCCUGCCCAAUCAGCAUCACAAUACCCAACCACUUCUGUACUGCCAUUGCAACCCAUCCAAACUCCUUGUCCAUGUGAGCCACUCAAAUACCUCAGUAUCCUAUCAACCAUCUUCCAGUGAUGUACCUUUGGCGCCUGCAUAUGUUGGCUCACUUGAUUCACAGCAAAGCAUAUAUCAGGUCGAGUGAUAGUCAAGUAGAUCAGCUUACCCACCAUCCUCCUAUACAGCUUAGCAUCCUCAAACAACUGGUUCUCUUCAACCUCCCCCUCACGCAAGACCUUAUACCCUUCCUCAAGAGGUGUCUUAGCUAUCUUCCCUCCAAGCACAUCAGUCUCCUUCAGCAUAUCCAUAGUGUACUUCCUUUGAGACAUAAACAAACCCUCCUUAGAUCUGCAUAUCUCAAUCCCCAAAAAGUACUUCAUCUCUCCCAAGUCUUUAAUAUCAAACACAGACUUGAGAAACUCCUUAGUAGCCUGAAUCCCUGCCUUAUCACUUCCUGUGAUAAUCAAAUCAUCCACAUACACUAGAAUCACAAUGCUCCCUGAAGGUCCUGUCAAGGUGAAGAGAGUGUGAUCUAGUUCAGACUUCCUAAAGCCUCUCCCAUUGAGUGUUGUACUCAGCUUCCUGUACCAAGCUCUAGGUGACUGUUUCAACCCAUAUAUUGCUUUCUUCAAUCUCAAAACAUUCCCUGGCUUUACUAGAUGCUCAAGACCAGGAGGUGGAUGCAUGUAUACUUCAUCUUCAAGUUCACCUUGCAAGAAAGCAUUCUUCACAUCCAUUUGCCACAAAUCCCACUCCAAGUUUGUUGCAAUAGAUAACACAAUUCGAAUUGUGUGAAGCUUGGCCACUGGUGCAAAAGUAUCAAUGUAAUCUUCCCCAUAAGUCUGUGUAAAUCCUCUUGCAACCAGCCUAGUCUUGCGCCUAUCUAUCUCCCCAUUUGCAAGGUACUUGAUGGUGAAGAUCCAUCUGCUUGACACUGCCUUCUUCCCUUUAGGUAACUCACUCUCAUACCAAGUAUCAUUCCUGAUCAUUGCAUCCCUUUCAUCUCCUACUGAAUCUCUCCAAACCUUGUGCUUCAUAGCUUCUUCAUAAGAUCUUGGUAUCUCAUUCUCAUCCAAGUUACACAUAAACACCAUGUGCUCUUCUGGAAACUCAGCAAAGGAACACAUGGCUUGAGAGGGAUGCUCCACAGCCUGGGCAUUGUAGUACACUCUCGUGUUUACCCAGUUGGAAGGAUCCCUCCUUAUCCUUGUGCUCCUCCGCAAGGUCUCAACCUGUUCUUCAGCCUGAACAUUCUCUUGUGCUUCCUCUCUUAAACCAGUAGGUUCUCCCUGCUCAUUUCCACCUGACUGAGCUUCACUCUCUGCUUCCUGUGUCUCCUCCUGAUCAUGCUGACCUGAAUCCUCUUGGUUAUGCUCCUGCUCCCCUGAUUCAGAUCCAUUCCCCCUCUCAUGAUCAAGAGGGGUUGUUUCUCCAGCUUCUCCAGCUUGAUUAGAAGGUCCUGUUCUUCCUGGUUCCUGAUCUUGGGAUAAUCCUAUCCCUAGCCUCUCCAACAACACUCUCAAUGUUGUUGCCUUCUCUGAUGGAGCCCGGGACAGAUCCUCUAGGUCUUCCCAUUUCUUCUCCUCAUAAUACCCUUUAGACUCAACAAACUUCACUUCUCUAGAUACCAUAACCCUCCUAGUUAUUGGAUCAUAGCAUUUGUAGCCUUUCUGAGUGAUUGAGUACCCAAUGAACAUAGCUUUAGUACUCUUUGCUUCUAGCUUGUUCCUUCUUUCUCCGGGAAUCAUCACAUAACAUAAGCACCCAAAGACUCUCAAGUGAUCAAUGUGUGGCUUGGUCUUGUUCAAUACUUCAAAGGGAGACAGUUUCUUCAAGACACGGGUUGGCACUCUAUUGAUGAGAUAGCAAGCAGUCUGAACAGCAUCACUCCAAAACCUCUUAGGGACAUUCAUGUGGAACAUUAUUGAUCUCGCAACCUCCAUCAAAUGUCUGUUCUUCCUCUCAGCCACCCCAUUUUGUUGUGGUGUAUAAGGACAGCUAGUUUGUUGCACAAUCCCAUGCUUUGCAAGAUGACUCUUGAAAGCAUUGCUAGUGUAUUCUCCUCCAUUAUCAGACCUCAAAAUCUUCACAGUGGCAUUGUACUGAUUAGUAACAUAUGCUUGGAAGUUCAUGAAGGCUUCUAGGACUCUGUCUUUGGAGGGAAUCAUGGUGAUCCAUGUGUACUUUGACUUCUCAUCAAUGAAAGUCACAAAGUACCUAUGGCUGUCUCUAGACAUACAGGGAGCUGUCCACACAUCUGAAUGCACCAGAUCAAAGCAAUUCUCAUAUCUGGUUUCUGAUGUUGGGAAGACAGUUCUACAGUGCUUUCCAAGUAUACAAGCUUCACACUCCAAGUGAUUGAACGCCAUACUUGGUAGAAUCAGUUCAAUUGCCUUGGCAUGAGGAUGUCCCAGCCUUGCAUGCCAUGUGAGAUUAUCACACCUAUCCGUUGUGCUGCUUAAACACACAGACUCCACAGGAUUAGGCGCCUCAGUUGUUUGGAGAUGAUAGAGCUGAUGCUUGCUGUCUCCUCUGCCAAUAACCCUUCCAGUUUUCAAAUCCUGGAACUCAACUUCAUUUGGUCUGAAAACCACUUGACAAUCCAGAUCAACUGUAGCCUUCUUAACUGAGAUUAGAUUGGAUGUAAACUGAGGUAGGUAGAAGGCAGUGGAGUUCUUCUCAAACAGCUUGAGGUUUCCCACUCCUUCUAUUGGGAUCCUGGUACCAUUGGCUAUCAUGACACUCCCUGUUGCUGCUUUAACCUCACUGAUUAGUCUCUUGUCACUGAUCAUGUGGUGUGUUGCUCCAGAGUCAAUGAUGAUGGGUUUAGAUGUGGAUACUUUGGCAGGAGCACCCAGACUCCGGGUCGUAGCCAAAGCAUACACAUGCUUAACCAACUCAUCCCAUUCCUUCUUUGUCACACACUCAUCUGCCCUCUUGGUAUCCAUUCCUCUCAUAUCCGCACUGUCUCCUACUGUUUCUCCCAUGUAAGCUGAGUAUGAACACUCUCCUAUAACCAUCUGCUGAAGUACAUGCUUGAUUCUCUUCAAGAUCACACUCAUCUUGUCACUUAAGUGUUCAGACUCACUAUCCUUUCUCCAUGCCCUUCUCUUCAUUAACCACUCCUUAGAAAGUUUUCUCAACCUUCCCUUCUUACAGCUUGUACCUCCCUUCCAUCUUUCUGGCUUCCUGUUCAUCUCCCACACAUCACAAGUAUAUUUAACAAGCUCACAUACCUCUUCCAUAAGGAAGCUGAAGAUCACAUCUUGCUUCCUCCUUUCUUGACAACAUCUCGGAUUUGAUGUGUGUGCCUUCACCACAUCUAACUCUGACCAUACUUCUCUCAGCCUUCCCACAAGCUGAUAACACUCAUCCUUUCCUUGUCUCAAGCCGCGGAUCACCCCUCUGUCCUCAACGACUCUUACAAGCUUGGACUUGCCUAAAGUUGCUUCAAUCUCACUCUUUGUAGUGUUUCCUUGAACAACUUCAUUUCCCAGCUUCAGACCUCUUGUCUGACCUUCUUCAGCAGCCAUUUCCAUGAAAGGUUUCCCCUUUCCAUGACUACUCCAUAACCCACAGCUUUCCAAAGCUCUUUUGGCCCACCUUGACCACUCGCCAUGCCUCUCCUCUUCAGUCUUCACAGUUGACUCAGGUCUGUGCUCCAUUUCCAUGUUGAGAUGAUUUGGAUUCACCAGAACCUCUCACGCCACCAAGAUAAUGAAACCCAGAAGUUAAGAACACCAAGAACACUCAAGAACACUCAAGAUUUUUAAGAAAAAGGAAUCACACUCUCCCACUUUGCGCAACCUGGCUCUGAUACCAUAUACACUUUUGUGUAUUAGAGCAUGAUUCAACUAAUCAGGGAUAAUCAGAUGAAAAGAUUAAAGAGAUUAAGAGAUUUUAGUGAGAGAAUAGAGAGAGAGACUCAAAACUCCAUUAGAUUGAUUAAUGAGAGAGUUUACAACACAUAUAGAUUAGGGAUACAUAAUUUCGUCCAGGUUCAGUCUAGCUAGGAUAAGAAGCAUGUGUAGUCAAAGAUGCUUGAUUCAAACUGGCCAAUAAGGUUCCUCACAUGCUUGGGUAGCUUUCCAGCUGGUGCCAGCCUGUCUAAAGCUCUCUAGCCUUGACCAGACCUUAUCCAAACUCCUCCUUGCUUAUCCAGACUCCUCC